AAGAGGCUGCGGAGUACGUGAUACAACCUAAUCCCUCGGGCCGAUGCUUUCGCAUUUAGGGAGCUGUCACUGGAUACGCUUAGUGUUUUGCCGCUUCGCGUUUUUAUACGGCACCCACCUGGUCAAUGGGGCCAGAAGCGGAUAGAUAUAGUACACGGCUCUCGCGGCUUUUUC
Molecule: non-coding RNA, 174 nt
Filed under: Micavibrio sp.
Lineage: Bacteria; Pseudomonadati; Bdellovibrionota; Bdellovibrionia; Bdellovibrionales; Pseudobdellovibrionaceae
Description: 6S RNA
Rfam family: 6S / SsrS RNA
About the family: E. coli 6S RNA was the first non coding RNA to be sequenced, but its function was unknown until recently. It consists of 184 nucleotides that fold into an extended hairpin structure with a large single-stranded internal bulge. The 6S RNA specifically associates with RNA polymerase holoenzyme containing the sigma70 specificity factor.
Source: RNAcentral